UCUUUAACCUGUGGUCGGUAUGUGGCGUCAAUGGCUAUAUUUUCUUCUUGGACGGCCAUGCCCUCAGAUGUCUGUGCCAGAAGUUAUUCGAGGUACCAAGUUCCUUACCCUGUUUGAGAAAAUGUAAAAUUUUCCUCAUUUUUCAGCAAUUUAGCAAAAUUUAUAAAUGUGAUAUAUUUUCAUUCAAAUUUGUUGCAAUGUGUUUCUUUUCACUCAAAUAAUGCUUUAAAUGAAAAAAAUAAUAAAAAAUCAGAAAAAAAUUUUAAAAAAAUUUUCAACUCGAAAAUUUCAUAAGGAGUACCCCUUGCCAUUUUUUUGGGAAAUUUUGCAAAAAAAAUUAAAUUGAUUUAUUUUAUUGCCAAUUGGUUGCAAUGUGUUUCUUUUCACUCAAGUAAUGAUUUAAAUAAAAAAAAGAGUGAAAAAUAAUAAAAAAAUCGAAAAAUUCAAAAAAAUGAAAAUUGACUAAGGCUCAUUUUUGCGCCAAGUUUUGCCUAUAACUCGGUCGGUAUCCAACGGAUCGCCAAUCUUUAACCUGUGGUCGAUAGAUGGCACCAAUGGCUACAUUUUCUUCUUGGACGUCCAUGCCCUCAGAUGUCUGUGCCGGAAGUUAUUCGAGGAACCAAGUUCCUUACCCGGUUUGAGAAAAUGUAAAAUUUUCCUCAUUUUUGCGCCAAGUUUUGCCUAUAACUCGGUCGGUAUCCAACGGAUCGCCAAUCUUUAACCUGUGGUCGAUAGAUGGCAUCAAUGGCUAUAUUUUCUUCUUGGACGGCCAUGCCCUCAGAUGUCUGUGCCAGAAGUUAUUCGAGGUACCAAGUUCCUUACCCUGUUUAAGAAAAUGUAAAAUUUUCCUCAUUUUUCAGCAAUUUAGCAAAAUUUAUAAAUGUGAUAUAUUUUCAUUCAAAUUUGUUGCAAUGUGUUUCUUUUCACUCAAAUAAUGCUUUAAAUGAAAAAAAUAAUAAAAAAUCAGAAAAAAAUUUUAAAAAAAUUUUCAACUCGAAAAUUUCAUAAGGGGUACCCCUUGCCAUUUUUUUGGGAAAUUUUGCAAAAAAAAUUAAAUUGAUUUAUUUUAGUGCCAAUUGGUUGCAAUGUGUUUCUUUUCACUCAAGUAAUGAUUUAAAUAAAAAAAAGAGUGAAAAAUAAUACAAAAAUCGAAAAAUUCAAAAAAAUGAAAAUUGACUAAGGCUCAUUUUUGCGCCAAGUUUUGCCUAUAACUCGGUCGGUAUCCAACGGAUCGCCAAUCUUUAACCUGUGGUCGAUAGGUGCCAUCAAUGGCUACAUUUUCUUCUUGGACGGCCAUGCCCUCAGAUGUCUGUGCCGGAAGUUAUUCGAGGAACCAAGUUCCUUACCCUGUUUGAGAAAAUGUAAAAUUUUCCUCAUUUUUGCGCCAAGUUUUGCCUAUAACUCGGUCGGUAUCCAACGGAUCGCCAAUCUUUAACCUGUGGUCGAUAGAUGGCACCAAUGGCUACAUUUUCUUCUUGGACGGCCAUGCCCUCAGAUGUCUGUGCCGGAAGUUAUUCGAGGAACCAAGUUCCUUACCCUGUUUGAGAAAAUGUCAAAUUUUCCUCAUUUUUGCGCCAAGUUUUGCCUAUAACUCGGUCGGUAUCCAACGGAUCGCCAAUCUUUAACCUGUGGUCGAUAGGUGGCAUCAAUGGCUAUAUUUUCUUCUUGGACGGCCAUGCCCUCAGAUGUCUGUGCCAGAAGUUAUUCGAGGUACCAAGUUCCUUACCCUGUUUGAAAAAAUGUCAAAUUUUCCUCAUUUUUGCACCAAGUUUUGCCUAUAACUCGGUCGGUAUCCAACGGAUCGCCAAUCUUUAACCUGUGGUCGAUAGAUGGCACCAAUGGCUACAUUUUCUUCUUGGACGGCCAUGCCCUCAGAUGUCUGUGCCGGAAGUUAUUCGAGGAACCAAGUUCCUUACCCUGUUUGAGAAAAUGUAAAAUUUUCCUCAUUUUUGCGCCAAGUUUUGCCUAUAACUCGGUCGGUAUCCAACGGAUCGCCAAUCUUUAACCUGUGGUCGAUAGGUGGCAUCAAUGGCUACAUUUUCUUCUUGGACGGCCAUGCCCUCAGAUGUAUGUGCCAGAAGUUAUUCGACGAACCAAGUUCCUUACCCUGUUUGAGAAAAUGUAAAAUUUUCCUCAUUUUUGCGCCAAGUUUUGCUUAUAACUCGAUCGGUAUCCAACGGAUCGCCAAUCUUUAACCUGUGGUCGAUAGAUGGCACCAAUGGCUACAUUUUCUUCUUGGACGUCCAUGCCCUUAGAUGUAUGUGCCGGAAGUUAUUCGAGGAACCAAGUUCCUUACCCUGUUUGAGAAAAUGUCAAAUUUUCCUCAUUUUUGCGCCAAGUUUUGCCUAUAACUCGGUCGGUAUCCAACGGAUCGCCAAUCUUUAACCUGUGGUCGAUAGGUGGCAUCAAUGGCUACAUUUUCUUCUUGGACGGCCAUGCCCUCAGAUGUCUGUGCCGGAAGUUAUUCGAGGAACCAAGUUCCUUACCCUGUUUGAGAAAAUGUAAAAUUUUCCUCAUUUUUGCGCCAAGUUUUGCCUAUAACUCGGUCGGUAUCCAACGGAUCGCCAAUCUUUAACCUGUGGUCGAUAGGUGGCAUCAAUGGCUAUAUUUUCUUCUUGGACGGCCAUGCCCUCAGAUGUCUGUGCCAGAAGUUAUUCGAGGUACCAAGUUCCUUACCCUGUUUGAGAAAAUUUAAAAUUUUCCUCAUUUUUCAGCAAUUUAGCAAAAUUUAUAAAUGUGAUAUAUUUUCAUUCAAAUUUGUUGCAAUGUGUUUCUUUUCACUCAAAUAAUGCUUUAAAUGAAAAAAAUAAUAAAAAAUCAGAAAAAAAUUUUAAAAAAAAUUUUCAACUCGAAAAUUUCAUAAGGGGUACCCCUUGCCAUUUUUUUGGGGAAAUUUUGCAAAAUAAAUUAAAUUGAUUUAUUUUAGUGCCAAUUGGUUGCAAUGUGUUUCUUUUCACUCAAGUAAUGAUUUAAAUAAAAAAAGAGUGAAAAAUAACAAAAAAAUCGAAAAAUUCAAAAAAAUGAAAAUUGACUAAGGCUCAUUUUUGCGCCAAGUUUUGCCUAUAACUCGGUCGGUAUCCAACGGAUCGCCAAUCUUUAACCUGUGGUCGAUAGAUGGCACCAAUGGCUACAUUUUCUUCUUGGACGGCCAUGCCCUCAGAUGUCUGUGCCGGAAGUUAUUCGAGGAACCAAGUUCCUUACCCUGUUUGAGAAAAUGUAAAAUUUUCCUCAUUUUUGCGCCAAGUUUUGCCUAUAACUCGGUCGGUAUCCAACGGAUCGCCAAUCUUUAACCUGUGGUCGAUAGGUGGCAUCAAUGGCUAUAUUUUCUUCUUGGACGGCCAUGCCCUCAGAUGUCUGUGCCAGAAGUUAUUCGAGGUACCAAGUUCCUUACCCUGUUUGAGAAAAUGUAAAAUUUUCCUCAUUUUUCAGCAAUUUAGCAAAAUUUAUAAAUGUGAUAUAUUUUCAUUCAAAUUUGUUGCAAUGUGUUUCUUUUCACUCAAAUAAUGCUUUAAAUGAAAAAAAUAAUAAAAAAUCAGAAAAAAAUUUUAAAAAAAUUUUCAACUCGAAAAUUUCAUAAGGGGUACCCCUUGCCAUUUUUUUGGGGAAAUUUUGCAAAAAAAAUUAAAUUGAUUUAUUUUAGUGCCAAUUGGUUGCAAUGUGUUUCUUUUCACUCAAGUAAUGAUUUAAAUAAAAAAAAGAGUGAAAAAUAACAAAAAAAUCGAAAAAUUCAAAAAAAUGAAAAUUGACUAAGGCUCAUUUUUGCGCCAAGUUUUGCCUAUAACUCGGUCGGUAUCCAACGGAUCGCCAAUCUUUAACCUGUGGUCGAUAGGUGGCAUCAAUGGCUAUAUUUUCUUCUUGGACGGCCAUGCCCUCAGAUGUCUGUGCCAGAAGUUAUUCGAGGUACCAAGUUCCUUACCCUGUUUGAGAAAAUGUAAAAUUUUCCUCAUUUUUCAGCAAUUUAGCAAAAUUUAUAAAUGUGAUAUAUUUUCAUUCAAAUUUGUUGCAAUGUGUUUCUUUUCACUCAAAUAAUGCUUUAAAUGAAAAAAAUAAUAAAAAAUCAGAAAAAAAUUUUAAAAAAAUUUUCAACUCGAAAAUUUCAUAAGGGGUACCCCUUGCGUUUU
Anopheles funestus (African malaria mosquito) is the source of this 4121-nucleotide long non-coding RNA. RefSeq lists it as uncharacterized. Lineage: Eukaryota; Metazoa; Arthropoda; Insecta; Diptera; Culicidae. The transcript has 6 exons. The record is from RefSeq and is a predicted model, not a curated record.